Molecule: ribosomal RNA, 482 nt
Filed under: uncultured bacterium
Lineage: Bacteria
Description: partial 16S ribosomal RNA
Rfam family: Bacterial small subunit ribosomal RNA
Source: RNAcentral
AUUGAACGCUGGCGGCAUGAUUUACACAUGCAAGUCGAACGGUAACAGGCCGCAAGGUGCUGACGAGUGGCGAACGGGUGAGUAAUGCAUCGGAACGUGCCCAGUCGUGGGGGAUAACUACUCUAAAGAGUAGCUAAUACCGCAUACGAUCUAUGGAUGAAAGCGGGGGACCGUAAGGCCUCGCGCGAUUGGAGCGGCCGAUGUCAGAUUAGGUAGUUGGUGGGGUAAAGGCUCACCAAGCCAACGAUCUGUAGCUGGUCUGAGAGGACGACCAGCCACACUGGGACUGAGACACGGCCCAGACUCCUACGGGAGGCAGCAGUGGGGAAUUUUGGACAAUGGGCGCAAGCCUGAUCCAGCAAUGCCGCGUGCAGGAAGAAGGCCUUCGGGUUGUAAACUGCUUUUGUACGGAACGAAACGGCUCUGGUUAAUACCCGGGGCUAAUGACGGUACCGUAAGAAUAAGCACCGGCUAACUACGUG